This is a non-coding RNA of Monodelphis domestica (gray short-tailed opossum), 13603 nucleotides long. NCBI's taxonomy places the organism in Eukaryota, Metazoa, Chordata, Mammalia, Didelphimorphia, Didelphidae. The record is from RefSeq and is a predicted model, not a curated record.
AUUGGGUUUUAUUUUAUUUUUAUUUCAGUAAUUAUUGAGGGGCCUCUAUUUGGGAUGGAUGUAUCUUUUAAACACACCACCCAAAUGACUAUCUCCAUGAUUCUGAAUUGGAAGCCUGGGUCAGGAGAAGUCUUCUUCCUCAAAUUUUGUCUUGGGUAACCACAUCACCACCCUUUCUUCUCCAAGCUUUGCUCAAGAAGCUUAAAUAAAUCCCUGUUUCCUCUCAAGAUAAAAUACAAACUCCUCUGAGACUAAAAACUCCUCACAAUCUUGCUCCCAACCCUCUUUCUGGGCUAAUUCACAUUAUCCACUUACAUUCUUGCCAGACACCUUUUCUUAUUUUUUUAUUUUUUAUUUAAACAUUAUUUGAUUUGGUCAAUUUCAAACUAUUCAUUGAAUACGAAAAUCAUUUUCUUUUCCUCCCUCCUGUCCCACCACCUCUCCCAUAGCUGAUGAUAGCUGAUGUGCAAUUCCACUGGGUAUCACAUGUGUCCUUGUUCCGAACCCAUUUCCACGUUGGUAUUUGUGCUAGGAUGUUCAUUUAGAGUCCCCAUCCCCAAUCAUGUCCCCUCAGUCCCUGUAUUCAAAGCAGUUGCCUUUCUUCGGUGUUUUUAUUCCCACAGUUUGUCCUCUGCUUGUGGAUAGUGUUUUUUCUUAGAUCCCUGCAGGUUGUUCAGGGACAUUGCAUUGGCACUAAUGUAGAAGUCCAUUACGUUCAAUUGUACCACAGUGUAUCAGUCUCUGUACAGUGUUUUCCUGGUUCUGCUCCUCUCACUCUGCAUCACUUGCUGGAGGUUGUUCCAGUCCCCAUGGAAUUCCCCCAUUAUAUUGUUCCUUUGAGCACAAUAGUAUUCCAUCACCAACAUAUACCACAAUUUGUUCAGUGUAAUAAUUAAAAUAGUUGAUGUUGUAAACUGUAGUGAAUUAAAAUGGUGGAAGAUAUAAAUUGUAGUAAAUAUAAGAGUGGGUGAGUAAAUUUGACCGCAGAAAAUAUGUUUCACUACAGUGUCUUGGUUUUUAAAUCAAAUGUAAGGUGGUCGCCAGGGAAUAUAUUCCCAAUUAUGAAUAUGCCCAAGUCAACUGGGUUUUAUAGAGAAUUUAAUUAAUAAUACAAUGAGAUAUUAAAGAAAAGGAGAAGGAAAGAGAAAAGGAAUUAAUGAGAAAGAAUCAGGCCUGGCCAACCCAGGCUUAAGCCUUAAGAGAGAAACCAGUCAGUUAUCACUCACCACAAGAUUUGUCUUAAGCAAGGAUGUCUGGGGAACAGAAUCUCCCCAGAGGGAGUUCCAGCCAGAGUCAGCCUCCCAAGGGACUUCUCAAGAGAUCUUCAAAGGGCCUUCUCCAAAAGGAUUUAUCUCCAAGGAUCUAUCUCCAAGGAUCCAAGGAUCUACAAGCCUCCAGAGAUUCCUUUUCUUAUAUAAGGGGUUUUUUCCUAUGUCACCUCCCCUAAGUUCUUCCAUCUACCAAUCACUGUAGAUGUUUUCUAAAAGACAGCCCAUCUGAAUUCCAGCUAAGUUGACUAAUCCCCUCAGUAUGUCUGAACCAGAGAAAACACUGCUGUGUCGACUAAUCCCCUCAGUAAAUCUGAACCAGAGAAAACAUAGCUGAGUCGACUAAUCCCAUGAAGAGAAAACCUGCCCGACUUUUAUAGGUACCUAGCAUCCCAUUGUAUCAAUUCUAAAAAUAGGCAUAGCUCAAAGAACUCCUUGCCUCAUCAUAAGCAUGGAUCCAAGUACUUUCGUUGUUUAGCAAGGAGUUUUCUCCCCUAAAGCAGUCUUAAGUACGGGUGGAGUAGAGGUCCUCCCAUUUCUGAUCCUGGCGAGUUCUCACAGUCAAAAUGAGGAAUGUUUCCAGUAGGGAAUUGUUCCAAUUGAGAAUUCCCUGAUGGGGAAAUUUUUAACAUUCACAAGUCUGAGAAAUUUCAAGAUUUACAUCAGCCAUUCCCCAAUUGAAGGGCAUCCCCUCAUUUUCCAAUUUUUGGACACCACGAAGAUUGCACCUAUGAAUAUUCUUGUACAAAUCUUUUUCCUUAUUAUCUCUUUGGGGUACAAACCCAGCAAUACUAUAGCAGGGUCAAAAGGUAGGUCCUUUGUGCAUAGUUCCAAAUUGCCCUCUAGAAUGGUUAGAUCAAUUCACAACUCCACCAGCAAUGGAUUAAUGUCCUGACUUUGCCACAUCUCCUCCAACAUUCAUUACUUUCCGUAGCUGUCAUGUUAGCCAAUCUGCUAGGUGUGGGGUGGUACCUCAGAGUUGUUUUGAUUUGCAUCUCUCUGAUUAUCAGAGAUUUAGAAACACUUUUUCAUGUGCUUAUUAAUAGUUUUGAUUUCUUUGACUGAAAACUGCCUAUAUCAAUUGGAGAAUGGCUUGAUUUUUUUGUACAGCUGAUUUAGCUCUUUGUAAAUUUGAGUGAUUAAACCUUUGUCAGAAGUUUUUGUUAUGAAGAUUGUUUCCCAAUUUGUUGCUUCCCUUCUGAUUUUGGUUACAUUGGUUUUGUUUGUACACAACCUUUUUAAUUUGAUGUAGUCAAAAUUAUUUAUUUUACAUUUUGUGACUUUCUAAGUCUUGCUUGGUUUUAAAAUCUUUCCCGUCUCACAAGUCUGACAUGUAUACUAUUCUGUGUUUACAUAAUUUACCUAUUGUUUCCUUCUUUACGUUCAAGUCAUUCACCCAUUCUGAGUUUAUUUUGGUGUAGGGUGUGAGGUGUUGAUCCAAACCUAAUUUCUCCCACACUGCCUUCCAGUUUUCCCAGCAGUUUUUAUGAAAUAGUGGAUUUUUGUCCCAAAAGCUGGGGUCUUUGGGAUUGUCAUAGAUUAUCUUGCUGAGGUCACUUACCCCAAGUCUAUUCCACUGAUCCUCCUUUCUGUCUCUUAGCCAGUACCAAAUUGUUUUGAUGACCACUGCUUUAUAAUAGAGUUUGAGAUCUGAGACUGCAAGGCCACCUCCCUUUGUAUUUUUUUUUCAAUAUUUCCCUGGAUAUCCUUGAUCCUUUGUUCUUCCAAGUGAACUUUGUUAUGGCUUUCUCUAGUUCAGUAAAAAAAAAUUUUCAAUGGGUAUGGCACUAAAUAGGUAGAUAAGUUUGGGUAGUUUGGUCAUUUUUAUUAUAUUGGCUCGUCCUACCCAUGAACAGUUAAUGUUUUUCCAUUUUCUCAAAUCUAGUUUUAGUUGUGUGGAAAGUGGUUUUUUUUUGUUUUUGUUUUUUGUCGCAGCAAAUAGAUUCCUAAGUAUUUUAUAUUGUCUAAGGUGAUUUUGAAUGAAAAUUCUCUAAUUUCUGCUGUUGAUGACUUAUGUGGAUUUAUUUUGUAUCCUGCAACUUUGCUAAAGUUGUUGAUUAUUUCCACUAGCUUUUUAGUUGAUUCUCUAGUAUGUGUUAAGUAGACCAUCAUAUCAUCUGCAAAGAGCGAUAGUUUGGUCUCUUCAUUGCUGAUUUUAAUACCCUCAAUUUCUUUUUCUUCUCUAAUUGCUACUGCUAGUGUUUCUAGUACAAUGUUGAAUAAUAAAGGUGAUGAGGAUCAUCCUUAUUUCAUUCCUGAUAUUAUUGGGAAUGUAUCUAGUUUAUCCCCAUUGCAGAUGAUGUGGGCUGAUGGUUUAAGAGAGAUACUGUUUUAUUAUUUUUAAGAAAGAUCCUUCUAUGCCUAUACUUUCUAGUGUUUUCAUUAGGAAUGGGUGUUUUAUUUUAUCGAAGGCUUUUUCUGCAUCUAUUGAGAUAAUCAUGUGAUUUUUGUUGGUUUGCUUGUUGAUAUGGUCAAUUAUGUGGAUGAUUUUCCUGAUAUUGAACCAUCCUUGCAUUCCUGGUAUAAAUCCUACCUGAUCAUGGUGAAUACUCCUUGUGAUGACUUGCUGGAGUCUUUUUGCUAGUAUCCUGUUUAAGAUUUUUGCAUCUAUGUUCAUUAGGGAGAUUGGUCUGUAGUUUUCUUUCUCUGUUUUUGGCCUGCCUGGCUUUGGGAUCAGUAUCAUAUUUGUGUCAUCAAAGGAAUUUGGUAGAACUCCCUCUUUGCUUAUUUUGUCAAAUAGUUUGUAUAGUAUUGGGAUUAGCUGUUCUUUGUUUGAUAGAAUUCACUUGUGAAUCCAUCAGGCCCUGGGGUUUUUUUCUUGGGGAGUUCUUUGAUGGCCUAUUCAAUUUCUUUUUCUGAUAUGGGAUUAUUUAAGAAUUCGAUUUCUUCUUCUGUUCAUCUAGGCAAUUUAUAUUUUUGUAAAUAUUCAUCCAUAUCACCUAGGUUGGUAUAUUUCUUGCCAUAUAGUUAGGCAAAAUAGUUUUUAAUGAUUGCUUUAAUUUCCUCUUCAUUGGAGGUGAGUUCUCCAUUUCCGUCCCUAAUACUGUUAAUUUGAUUUUCUUCUUUCCUUUUUUAAAUUAGAUUGACAAGUAUUUUGUCUAUUUUGUUUGUUUUUUUCAAAAUACCAGCUUCUACUCUUAUUUAUUAGUUCAAUAAUUCUAUCACUUUCGAUUUUAUUAAUUUCUCCCUUCAUUUUUAGGAUCUCUAAUUUGGUUUUCUUCUGGGGGUUUUUAAUUUGUUCACUUUCAAGUUUUUUGAUUUGCAUGUCCAAUUCAUUGAUCUCUGCCCUCCCUAAUUUGUUAAUAUAUGAAUUCAAGGAUAUAAAUUUUCCCCUGAGUACUGCUUUGGCUAUAUCCCACAGUUUGAAAGGAUGUCUCAUCAUUGUCAUUUUCUUCAAUGAAAUUACUGAUUGUUUCUAUGAUUUGUUCUCUGACUAGUUGAUUUUGGAGAAUCAUAUUAUUUAAUUUCCAAUUAGUUUUUGAUUUAUCUCUCCAUGUACCCUUACUUAUCGUUAUUUUUAUUGUCUUGUGAUCUGAAAGGUUGCAUUUAUUAUUUCUGCUUUUCUGCAGUUGUAUGCCAUGUUUUUAUGACCUAGUCCAUCUUUGUGAAUGUGCCAUGUGCUGCUGAAAAGAACAUGUAUUCCUUUUUGUCCCUAUUUUUCUCUAUAUAUCUACUAAUUUUUCUAAGAUUUCAUUCACCUCUUUUACCUCUUUCUUAUUUUUUUUAUUUGAUUUAUCUAAAUUUGAUGGUGAUAGGUUCAGGUCUCCCACUAGUAUAGUUUUACUAUUUCCUCCUUCAAUUCUACUAGUUUCUCCAUUAGAAAUUUGGAUGCUAUACCAUUUGGUGCAUACAUGUUGAUUAGUGAUAUUUCCUCAUUAUUUAUACUCCUUUUUAUCAGGAUGUAUUUACCUUCCCUAUCCCUUUUAAUCAGGUCUCUUUUUACUUUAGCUUUGUCACAUAGCAUGAUUGCAACUACUAUAAAGAUUACUAUAUAAAGAUUACUACUAUAAAGAUUAAAAUUUAGGGGAGAUGGGGAGACUGAGGCAUCUGAGGCAGGUAGAAAUUAGUUUCUCUCUGCAAGGAGUAUUAUAUUUUUUUAGAGGUUUAUUAAAGGUUAAAGAUUAAGAAUAUACAAGUAAGAAACAUGUGCCUAGGCCAGAGGCCUAGACAAAAUAACCUCACAUCAUGGAAGAGACGCCUCUGCUCCAAAACGGAAGUCCAAAAACCUUCAAAAGCCUUCAAAAGCUUUUGCUUAAAUAUCUUCUCGAUCUCAGCCCAGGUGAGAUUACAAGGCAUUCUGGGGAAGUGGAGCAAAGGCUCAUGGGGAUUGUAGUCCUGUAUUCGAGUCUAUUUUUCACAUUCCCCCAUGUGAUCAUUUGCAAAAAAAUUAAUUUUUUUCCAAAGGAUCAUGAAAACAAAAUCAACUUAAAAGAUUACAGUAGUGUGAGGAUAAGAGAAAAAAGAAUAAAACCAAUAAUUUCUGAACACAUUGACAAAAAGCCGUUAGGGGGCAGUCCCCUUUGGCAUAAAAGUAUACAUACAAAUAAAUGUUCAAUCAGCCACACCCAAAGUUCAAUUUUGUGCAACUUGUGGUCUGGAGGCUUCUUCAUGGUGGCUUCUCCAACAGUUCAGUUCUGGAUUCAGAGAGGUAGCAUCUUCUUUACCUAAAAUUCUUCUCAAAAGGAAUUUAAACUUGCAAUUUAAAUAAUGAUUUUUUUUUUUACAUUCCCCCGUGUUGUGGGUGAUUGAAAGAUUCAGAAUCAGUUAGGGAUGCAUGGCUGAGGUAUGAGGUAUAUGAAUCAAUUGGCAAGAGAUAUUAAAAAGAUAUCAGAAAAUCCAAAAGAAAAGAAAAAUUUCUGGAUGAAAAUAUAGACUAUCAAAGUCUUAUAUGUAAAAAUUCCAAGUAGAAGAAAAAUAAAUCUAUAACAGGUCCUUGAAUCAGGGCCCAAUCAAAAUGAUCUAAGUAAUGAUGCAUUUACCCAGUCAGUGCCAGGACUACAGAAAGGUACCACACUAUGAGAGGCAGAAAAGGGGACCAGAUUAUAGAAGCCAAGUAGGAGCCAAGGUUUUGGGGAUACUCAUCUUUGAGUAUCUUCAGAGUGAGUGUAGAUACAAGGAAAGCCUAUUUCUUAACACAUGUUAAACAUAGUAACCUUGAAUCUUCACACUAGGUUCAAGACCUUUGUAUUGGCCUAGAAGUGCAUCAAUCCAUCCUAGAUUGGCCUUUCUUUGGCCCUAUGAAAUGGCUCUUGUGUGUAGCUCUUGUCCUGGAAUCAGACAAAAUCAUUAAGCAAAGUCCCAUAAUUUAUUUAAAUAAUUAGUGGAAUCAUUUUCAUAGUCACAAGCUUUUUAGGGCAUGCAUUAGAAAAUGUAUCUUAAACUUGUAGCACUGAAAAAAUAAAAAGUUAAAGAAAAUCUUAAUGCUGGUGACAUGUGCUUCAAAUAUAAAAAGGAGAGAAAAAAUAAUAAAAAAAACUGAAAAAGUAUAUUGCACAUGCAAGAAAAAUAUAAUAAUAAAAGAGCUUUAAAAAAUUCAAAAAUAUAGCUUAUAAUCAUUGACACUCUGUGUCAGCUAAGAAAAUAUAAAAUACAAGGCUUUCUCACCAAAAAAUGAGAUCCAUUUCCUCUUUGUAUCUGGCCAUGAUCGCUGUGAGUAGAAGGCAAAUGAAUUGAACAAGGUUAACAAUUUUUCAUUUUUAAAAAUACAGUAGUACAAAUAUGUAGAUAUCAAAAUCCCCAAAAUUCUCAAUAGCCCAAUUAAUUACAAUAGCAAACACACUUUCAUAUUUCACAUAAGUUGCUGUAUGACAUUUUUAAAACCUAUGAAUUGAUGGACAUUUGUCACAAUUUUUACAAAUGUAGCAAUCUUUCAACCUUGGUAUUUAAACAUAUUUUUUAAACAAAGUAAAACUCAUCUUGGGUUUAGAACAUAAGCAAGAAAUCUAUAUAUCAUUCUGGUAGAAGUAAAGUAGUGAGCUGAAGAGCAUAAAUAAAGGGGUGCUCCUUUUUCUUGGAGGCUUAUAGGGAUACAAAUGCCCUGAGAUUAACUGCCCAACUUCCAUUCACAUGUGGGAAGGUUGGGGGUUAUAAACUACAUUUCACUUCAGCUACUGUAAUGGGCCUUACCUCCUGGUAGGGGCAGGGAAAAAUAACCAGAUUGUUAAAAAAAAUUCAAAAAUCAUAUUUAAAAAACCCUUAAAAUCAAAUCAUUUGAGGUAUUUAGCACAUUAAAAUUUCCAAGGUUGUUAAUACAAUUAUAACCAGUUCUGAAGUCCAUCUAUCCUUGGCAAAAUAGAAAAAAAGCUGUUUUUUCAUAUAUGGGCUUAUUCAAUAAUAUUUGUUCAACACAGUUAUAGGGGAAAAACAACAGAAUUUUAAAACUCAGUACAUUCAAAGUAAAUUCAAUCAACCUUCAGUUCAAGCAGAAUAAUAUUGAAUCCAGUAAUAUAUGAACUUAAAAUCACAAAGUUAUAUCUUAAACAAAACAAUGCAAUAGAAUACAGAGAUUUUUUUUUAUAAACCAUUGGAGUCUGAAAUGCCUUAGAAUAUAGCCUUUAGUCUCUUCAAAGUUCCUUGGGUUUUUUUUUUUGUUUGUUUGUUUGUUUUUAAUUAUCCAUUUAAAUGUCUAUUGUCGGAAGGUAGAGUAGUAAAGGCUAGGCUAUGGGGUUCAAGGGAUCCGUCCAGGGCCCCAUAGCUGGGAAGGAUUGGCGGCCAGAUUUUAACUAGAGACCUCCCGUCUCUGGGCCUGGCUUCCAGUUCGCUGGGCCACCCAUUUUCCUCCCCAAAGUUAAAGUUGAAUCUUUGGGCUGAGUCUGCUCCCAGAUAGGCAGGCAAAAUCAAUAAAAUUGCCAGAAGAGUCAAAAAUCCUUUUAAACAGCCCAUUGCUAUUAAGUUUCUGUUUGAAAAGUCUGUUUCUUCUCUCUAGUCUUUUCUCUCUUUCCCCUCUGAUCACCCUGUGGCCAAUACCCCCAGCCACGUGGAGGCUUAGCCUAAGGGAAAAUUGCCCGGUCUCCUUUCCCUCUGGUCUCUCCCCUCCACCCACGUGGCCAAUACUGUUACCAGCUGGUCGCAAUGAGUCCUGAGCGAUCUGCUCCAAGGAUCUGGGUGAUGAGCCGGCUGGAGUCACGCUUGUGGGUCUGGGGCGCAGAAAUAGGCAGGCAGCGGCUGGUGAGAGGCCAGGAGCAGGAGCGGCUGCGGGGGUGGGCAAGGCCGGGACCAGGUACCAGGUGAGGACAAUCAGGGCUGCAGGUUGCAGGCAGGAAGCGGCGGGGCAGGUCCGGAGCCUGUAGCAGCUUUGCGAGGGUAGAAAACCUUGGCCAGAGAGAUAUGGCUCAAAAAAAAAAAUUUCUAGGUACUAGCUAUUAAAAUUGAAUUUAAGAUCAGAAAAGAAAUCAGAAGACUGAGUUUUUUUCCCAUUAGGUCGCCAUAACUAUAAAGAUUAAAAUUUAGGGGAGAUGGGAAGACUGAGGCAUCUGAGGCAGGUAGAAAUUAGUUUCUCUCUGCAAGGAGUAUUAUAUUUUUUUAGAGGUUUAUUAAAGGUUAAAGAUUAAGAAUAUACAAGUAAGAAACAUGUACCUAGGCCAGAGGCCUAGACAAAAUAACCUCACAUCAUGGAAGAGAUGCCUCUGCUCCAAAACGGAAGUCCAAAAGCCUUCAAAAGCCUUCAAAAGCCUUUGCUUAAAUAUCUUCUCGAUCUCGGCCCAGGUGAGAUUACAAGGCAUUCUGGGGAAGUGGAGCAAAGGCUCAUGGGGAUUGUAGUCCUGUAUUCGAGUCUAUUUUUCACACUACUGCCUUCUUUCUUUCAGUUGAGGCCCAGUAGGUCUUGUUCCACCCUUUAAUUCUGACCUUGUGAGUAUCUACACACCUCAUGUGUGUUUCUUGUAGACAACAUAUGGUAGGAUUCUGGAUUCUAAUCCACUCUCCUAUUCAUCUAGGUUUUAUGGGUGAGUUCAUCCCAUUCACAUUCAAAGUUAUGAUUGUCACUUUUGAAUUCCCUAGCAUUUUGAUAUCCUUCCUAGUUCUGACCUUUCUUCUUGUGCUACAUCCUUUUAAACCAGUGGUUUACUUUUACUUGGGAAUUUUCCCAAGGCAACCACUUAUUUACUUUUAGUCAACCCCCCUAUAUCCUUCCCUUGAUAUGUUUCCCUUUCUGGUCCCUCCCUUUUUGUUCCCUUCUUGUUAUUUAGGGUCUGUUAAGUAUCCUCCUCCCUCUCCUUCCCUCUCCUUUUUUCAUUUUUUGAGCUCCCUACCCCCCUUAGUUUCCCCUUUUUCCUUACCCUGAAGGGUAAGAUAGACUUCCAGAUCCCAAUGACUCUAGAUGCUCUUCCCUCUCAACUGAUUUCACUGAGAGUAAUAUUUGGGUAUUACCUAUUAGCACUCUCUUCUUCUCUCUCUUAUAAGAGUAUUCUUCCCCUCCCCUUCCCAUGUGUAUCUUUUUGUGACAAAGAUUAUUCUAUUUUUUUUUAAUUUCUUUAAGUAUCUCUUAGUACCAUCAUGGAUUCCCGCUCACCCUUUUUAUCCCCCAUAUCAUUUUAGAGUCCUAAUGCCCCAAUCUUUUCCUAUAAAUGAUUCUUCUAUUUACUAUAAUAAUGAAAACAUUUUUGAGAGUUACAAAUAACAUUUCCCCCAUAUAUUAAUAUCUAUAACUUGAUCUAAUUGUAGCCCUUAAAGAAAAGAGUUUGAAAUAACAAAAAAAAACAAGAAAACAAAACAAUUUUCUCCUUUUCCCUCUCUUUUAUAUUUACCUUUUCAUGUUCAUAAAAUCUCCAUAAACCCAGCUGACUUGGGUACUAUUUUCAUACUUGGGAAUUUUCCCAAGGCAACCACUUAUUUUUAACAUAAAAUCAAGACCCUCAAAAUUAUCUUUACAAUUUUGGCAAUUCACAGUCUUGAAACCCACAUUUUUGCAGUCACAAAGAUAGACUGGACUUGGGAGAGACUGAGGUUAGGAUACUUACCAAAGGCAACUACAGUAGUUCAUGCAGGAGAUGAUGAGGGCCUGAACCAGAAUGGCGGUGGUGUCAGGAGAGAAGGGGACAUAUUGGAGAGAUGCUGCAGAAGUAAAUGGACAGACCUUGGCACCAGUUUGAAUGGGAGGAGGGGGUAGUGAGAGAGUAAAGAAUUGAGAAUGACACUUAGGUUGUAAAUUUGAGGGUCUAGGAAAUUUGGAGUUGCCCUCCAAUAAAAGGGAAAUUUGAGGGAAAAGAUAAUGAGUUUAGUUUUGGAUGUAUUGGGUUUAAGAUAAUAAUAGCUACCCUUUAUAUAGAACUGUAUUCCAGGCACUCUAAAAGCAUUUUUCAAAUAUUAUCUCAGUUGAUUAUAUAUCAUUUGAUGUCUACAGGACAUCUUUUUUAAAUUUUCCUUUGGGUGGUGGUAGAUUAUAAGCUUCUUGAAUGCUGUGCCUAACUUCUGCCUUUUUUUAUUUUCUGUAUUCCCAGCACUUCUUACCACAAUGCCUGAUAUAUAUUAGGUGCUUAAUGUUUAUUGAAUUGAAUUGGAAAAUUGGAUGUGUAGAUUUGGAAAUGAUCAGCCCUGUUGCUAAGAUCUAAAACAGCUUAAUUUAAGGAGAAUCAAAAAGAGAAUCAAAAAGGUGGUUUUUUUUACUCACCUGUUCUUGCAGUUGUAUUUUUGAAGCCAAGUUAAAAAAGAAAACAAAACUGACUGAUAGAGCAAGUAACAAAGAGAGAAAGGAAAGAGAUUUCACAGAAACUUUUUGAGGGGUUUUUCCACCAAUUUUGUGGUCAGCCAUAAACUGUAAUAAUUAAUAUGGUUGGGUGUCAUAAACUGUAGUGAGUAAAAUACUGUCAAGAUGCAAGGCAGUCCCACGGCCAUAAUGAUUAAGCUGUCUUCCGUUUGUUAUUUAUUUUGACUGAUUGUUCGCCACCAGCUGGGAACCCUGGAGUCACAAGUGAGGCUGGACCCUGACCACAGCAGGAGUUACAGCACAAACUACGUGAACUUCAUGAAUCCGGAGCUGCAGUACAAGCCAGACCACUAGACUUUUCUCUGCAUGACCUGAAUCCAGGAGAUAAAGUUUAUAUUAAGAAUUUCAAGAGAACUGGAGCAACUCAACCUUAGGGGGAAGGACCAUUCCAAAUAUUGUUAACUACUCCAACAUCUAUAAAGAUUGGAGAAAAGGAGUCUUGGAUUCACUGCUCAUAUGUGAAGAAAGUUUCAUCUGUUGAGACUGAUUGACUGUACCCUAUCACAUGCAUUGAAGAUAGUAAUCCAUAGACAAAUGGAUGCUAUUUUUUGAGAACACAUUGAAUUACUAAUUUUUCCUUAUUUUUAUUAUUGCUUUUCUUUAUUUUUGAUCAGAAUAUUUGAUUUUUUCUUAUUUCUUGUACUAAAGGUACACAUAAUUAAUAUUAAUAUUUUCUUUUACAGUAAUACAAGUUAAUAUAUAUAUUCUUGCUAUAAUGUCAAUGCACAAACUCUAAACUAUGGGAACCUGCCAUUUAUUGAUAAAAUAUUAUGAGACUGAUUAAUGUUUAUGUAUGAUUCCAGAAAAAGGGAUAAAAAACAAUGAGCACAGACAACCUGAAAAGUGCCAAAAAAGAGCACACAUGAAAUCCUAAUGUGAGACUCGAAGUUGCGACAUUUGACAUAUGUUAAGCCGUAGGACUUCCUUGUAUCUACACUCUUUGUGAAGUACUCAUACAAGUACAAGAUUUGACUAUCAUGCUGGCUCCCUAUAUCCCUGAGAAUGACAAAAAAUUUCAAAUAAGGGAAUGACACUUCCCUACCAAAAUAGAAUUCUAGUUCUUUUCUUUUUAUAUUUUGGCACCUUCCUGUAGUCUUGGCUACAAAUGGCUAAGUGAAAUAUUACUGCAUUCUGUCCUACAGAUUUGUGGGAUAGAAAUUACUUUAAAUUGGGCCUAUGCAAAGGCCUAUUUUUAAUUUUUCCCUUACGUUUUUGAUUGUGCUUUUCUAUUCUGCUGAUAACUGACUCAUACAUCCCCAUAACUUAACAUUGCAUUCUGAGUUGAACUGGAUGUUUUUUAACACCUACUUCAGGGGGAUUGUAUUUUAUUUAAAAUCUAAGAAUUUUGAUUUUUUGUUUGAGAUUGUAUUUUACAUAAAAUCCAAGAUUUUGAUUUUGCUCCAGAAAAGAUCUUCAGGAAAAAGCUUGAAACUCCUAAAUCCAGAGAAUGAAUUGUUGCAGAAAAAUACCGGAAAAUCCACACUACAUCAAGAAGAUCAAGAAUGAACUUUGGAUAUGGUUGAUUGAACUGAACUUUGAUUGAACAUUUAUUGUAAAUGUACACAUUUAUGCCAAAAGGGACUGCCCCUAAUUUGGCUUUCUGUCAAUGCGCCCAGCAAAAUCUUUUCUAUUUCCUCCCUCACUAUUCUAAUUUCUCUUAGAAAAUUGAAUAUUGUGUAUAUCUAUAGUUAGAAGUGCAUUUAGAACUACAAGAUGAUUAUGUUAAAUGAUCAAUGGGGAGACUAGUCUCCCAAUGAUCAUCAGGGGGAUUGUGAAUCUUGAAAUUUCUCAGACUCGUGAAUGUUAAAAAAUCCCUCAUUGAGGAAUUUUUUAUUGGGACAAUUCCCUAUUGGGACUAUUCCCCAUUUUAAACAGUGAAGCUACUUAGAUCUAAAAUGUGAGAACUCUACUUAGAUCAGAAAUGUGAAGACCUCUACUCUACCCGUACUUAAGCCUGCUUUAGGGGAGAAAACUUCUUGCUGAACAAUGAAAAAUACUUACACCCAUACUUAAGCCGUGCCUAUUUGUAGAAUUAAUACAAAGGGGUGCUAAGUACCUAUAAAAGUCAGGCAACUUGUGAACUUACAAGGAGCAAAGAGGAAAAAACUUACUCAGAUAUUCUAGCCUACUCAGGUAUGGAUUACUAAAAGGAUUAGUCUACUCAGGUGUGAAUUCAGAAUGGGCUAUCCUUUGGACAACGUCUACUGUGAUUGAUAGAUGGAAGAACUUAGGGGAGGUGUCAUAGGAGAAAACCCCCUAUAUAAGAAAAGGACAGGCUGUUAGAAGAGAUAGAGACUCUAAAACAGUCCCUAAGGAGGCUGUUAGAAGGAGAGUGCUCUAAGGAGGAGGCUCUGAAGAAACAGGCCCUAAGGAGUCAAUUGGGAGAGGCUCUUGAGGACAGUCAGAAGAAUCCCUCUCUGGAGAAUGAUGGCUGGCUGAACUGGUGUCUAUAUCCUUCUUAGACAGAUCUUGUGGUGAGUGAUAAAAGACUGAUCUCUCUCUCUCUCUCUCUCUUAAGACUCAGGUCUAGGCCAUGUUGGCUUAAGGCCCUUCAUACUUAUUCCUUUCUUACUCUUUCUCUCUUUCUUUAAUUCCUCAUUGUAUUAAUUAAUUAAAUUCUCUAUAAAACCCA